This 404-nucleotide ribosomal RNA is filed under the name uncultured bacterium. RNAcentral's name for it is "bacterial SSU rRNA". It matches the Rfam family "Bacterial small subunit ribosomal RNA", at positions 917 to 1322 of the family's 1533-position model. The record is from RNAcentral.
GGACCCGCACAAGCGGUGGAGCAUGUGGUUUAAUUCGAUGCAACGCGAAAAACCUUACCUACACUUGACAUACUUGGAAUCUUUUGUAAUGAAAGAGUGCCUUUUGGAGCCAAGAUACAGGUGCUGCAUGGCUGUCGUCAGCUCGUGUCGUGAGAUGUUGGGUUAAGUCCCAUAACGAGCGCAACCCUUACCCUUAUUUGCCAGCGAUUCGGUCGGGAACUAUAAGGGGACUGCCGGUGAUAAACCGGAGGAAGGUGAGGACGACGUCAAGUCAUCAUGGCCCUUACGUGUAGGGCUACACACGUGCUACAAUGGGGAGUACAGAUAGACGCUAAAGCGCGAGCUGGUGCUAAUCUCAUAAAACUCUUCGUAGUCCGGAUUGCAGUCUGCAACUCGACUGCAUG